RNAcentral lists this ribosomal RNA (354 nucleotides) under bacterium LimB-1-J-55A. RNAcentral's name for it is "bacterial SSU rRNA". It matches the Rfam family "Bacterial small subunit ribosomal RNA", at positions 289 to 635 of the family's 1533-position model. The record is from RNAcentral. RNAcentral also lists the same sequence under 3 other names.
GACCUGAGAGGGUGAUCGGCCACACUGGAACUGAGACACGGUCCAGACUCCUACGGGAGGCAGCAGUAGGGAAUCUUCCGCAAUGGGCGAAAGCCUGACGGAGCAACGCCGCGUGAGUGAUGAAGGGUUUCGGCUCGUAAAACUCUGUUAUUAGGGAAGAACAAAUGUGUAAGUAACUGUGCACGUCUUGACGGUACCUAAUCAGAAAGCCACGGCUAACUACGUGCCAGCAGCCGCGGUAAUACGUAGGUGGCAAGCGUUAUCCGGAAUUAUUGGGCGUAAAGCGCGCGUAGGCGGUUUCUUAAGUCUGAUGUGAAAGCCCACGGCUCAACCGUGGAGGGUCAUUGGAAACUG